CCUACGGGGGGCUGCAGUGGGGAAUAUUGCACAAUGGGGGAAACCCUGAUGCAGCGACGCCGCGUGAGUGAAGAAUUAUUUCGGUAUGUAAAGCUCUUUCAGCAGGGAAGAAAAUGACGGUACCUGACCAAGAAGCCCCGGCUAACUACGUGCCAGCCGCCGCGGUAAUACGUAGGGGGCAAGCGUUAUCCGGAUUUACUGGGUGUAAAGGGAGCGUAGACGGCAGGGCAAGUCUGGAGUGAAAGGCGGGGGCUCAACCCCCGGACUGCUCUGGAAACUGCCAGGCUGGAGUGCAGGAGAGGUAAGGGGAAUUCCUAGUGUAGCGGUGAAAUGCGUAGAUAUUAGGAGGAACACCAGUGGCGAAGGCGGCUUACUGGACUGUAACUGACGUUGAGGCUCGAAAGCGUGGGGAGCAAACAGGAUUAGAUACACGGGUAGUC
This 440-nucleotide ribosomal RNA is filed under the name uncultured bacterium. RNAcentral describes it as "partial 16S ribosomal RNA". It matches the Rfam family "Bacterial small subunit ribosomal RNA", at positions 338 to 795 of the family's 1533-position model. The record is from RNAcentral.